This 206-nucleotide ribosomal RNA is filed under the name uncultured bacterium. RNAcentral's name for it is "partial 16S ribosomal RNA". It matches the Rfam family "Bacterial small subunit ribosomal RNA", at positions 1294 to 1500 of the family's 1533-position model. The record is from RNAcentral.
CGGAUUGCAGGCUGNAACCCGCCUGCAUGAAGCCGGAAUCGCUAGUAAUCGCGGACCAGAAUGCCGCGGUGAAUACGUUCCCGGGUCUUGUACACACCGCCCGUCACACCAUGGGAGUCGGGAAUGCCCGAAGUCAGUGGCCCAACCGGAAGGGGGAGCUGCCGAAGGCAGGCCCGGUGACUGGGGUGAAGUCGUAACAAGGUAGC